This 846-nucleotide ribosomal RNA is filed under the name uncultured bacterium. Its description in RNAcentral is "bacterial SSU rRNA". It matches the Rfam family "Bacterial small subunit ribosomal RNA", at positions 506 to 1360 of the family's 1533-position model. The record is from RNAcentral.
UGCCAGCAGCCGCGGUAAUACGUAGGGUGCUAGCGUUAUCCGGAAUCACUGGGCGUAAAGGGUUUUGUAGGCGGUAAGUUAAGUGGUGGGUUAAAGACUAAGGCUCAACCUUAGAAAUGCCCAUCAAACUAACUAACUAGAGAUAGUUUGGGGAUGCUGGAAUUCUCGGUGUAGUAGUGAAAUGCGUUGAUAUCGAGAAGAACACCAAAGGCGAAGGCAGGCAUCUAAGACUUAUCUGACGCUGAGGAACGAAAGCUGGGGUAGCGAAAGGGAUUAGAGACCCCUGUAGUCCCAGCCGUAAACGAUGAACACUAGCUGGUCGGAAUUUAUUUCUGGCUGGCGCAAGCUAACGCGUUAAGUGUUCCGCCUGGGGAGUACGACCGCAAGGUUAAAACUCAAAGGAAUUGACGGGGAUGCGCACAACCAGCGUGCCAUGUGGUUUAAUUCGAUACAAAACGAUGAACCUUACCUAGACUUGAUAUCCUGAUCAUAUCUUGUGGGAACACGAGAGUCGGUUCGGCCGGAUCAGUGACAGCUGUUGCAUGGUUGUCGUCAGUUCGUGUCGUGAGGCGUCCUGUUAAGUCAAGUAACGAACGCAACCCCUGUUGUAUGUUAAAUAUCCAUACAAGACUGCCCUUCUUAUUAGGGGGGAGGAAGGAGGGGACGACGUCAAAUCAGCAUGACGCUUACGUCUAGGGCUACACACAUGGUGUAAUGGGUGGAACAACGGGUCGCGACAGGGUAACCUUGAGCUAAUCCUUAUAAAUCCACCCUCAGUUCGGAUUGUGGGCUGCAAUUCGCCCACAUGAAGGGGAGUUGGUAGUAAUCGCAGGUCAGCUAUACUGC